RNAcentral lists this ribosomal RNA (432 nucleotides) under uncultured bacterium. RNAcentral's name for it is "partial 16S ribosomal RNA". It matches the Rfam family "Bacterial small subunit ribosomal RNA", at positions 29 to 506 of the family's 1533-position model. The record is from RNAcentral.
AACGAACGCUGGCGGCAUGCCUAACACAUGCAAGUCGAACGAGACCUUCGGGUCUAGUGGCGCACGGCUGCGUAACGCGUGGUAACCUGCCCGUAGGUUCGCAAUCACUCCCCGAAAGGGGUGCUCAUACCAGAUAAUCUCUUCGCACCUAAGAUGUAUCGCCAUUGGAUGGGCCCGCGUUGGAUUCGCUAGUUGGUAGGGUAAUAGCCUCCCAUGGCGACGAUCCAUAGCUGGUCUGAUAGGAGGAUCAGCCACACUGGGACUGAGACACGGACCACACCCGGACGGAGGGCAGGAGUGGGGAAUAUAGUAGACGGGGGGAAGACCUGAUACAGCAGUGCGGCGUAAGUGAUGAAGGGGUUAGGGUUGUAAAGCUCUCUUACCCGGAAUGAGAAUGACAGUAACGGGAGAAGAAGCACCGGCUAACUCCGU